Molecule: non-coding RNA, 1466 nt
Organism: Myodes glareolus (Bank vole)
Lineage: Eukaryota; Metazoa; Chordata; Mammalia; Rodentia; Cricetidae
Source: RefSeq, a predicted model, not a curated record
UCAAGUCCUGAAGGCCAAGUGAGCGCUCGCUCAGGUUAGGAGAAAACACAGCGGGCGACUGGUGUUCUGCUCCAGAUGACCCCGGCCGUCUCCAGGCUGCGCCUCGGAGGAAAGGUGAAGGUUUGCACUAGCAACUGCGGUGAAUCUGAAGCUGUCCCCUGCCUGGAUAGAAAGAUUUCAGCAGAUUCAGGAGUGAAAGCUUCAGACAGCAGCUUUUGGGCGAAGACGUUGUCUUUCCCAGCGGCCUUCGCAGACUCGGUUACUCUUUGGAUUCUUCACCCCAUCAUCUUAGUUCACCUGAAACACUGAGUCCAACAGAGCUGGCUUGGGUCACAGUGCAGCCACCAUGCAGUUUAUGUACGUCUUUGUUUAACAUGGUGAGAGAGAUGCAGUGCUUCGUGAAUGUUUGUUGUGUAUGCGUUGAGUUUUUAAAAGAUCUUCUCGUAAUGCCGGCAUGGCUUAAAUUUUCAGCUUGAUGUGAAUGUCUGCUGUGUCUACUGUGUCUUCCUGCCUACUGUGUCUGUGAUGGUACCAGAAUCCUGUUGGAGAAAUAAAGUUCAUUAGAAUUGACCAGAUACAAGCGAUGAUGAUCAUGACAAGGAAUUACCAUGAGGAAUUAGAGGUGUGGGUGCGGGCAGUCUCAAAGAACUCACGCAGAGGGAGUUUUUGGAGGUUCAGGAAGUUGUGGAUACAUUUUCUGAGAGAGUGGAACCUUAAAUCAUUUCCGUUACUCAACAGCCGUCUCUGAAGCCUGCUCCUCUGUCUUGUGACCCAGCCCUGGAGAGUCAAAGUCUCUAGGUUUUUUGUUACUUUCUAUGAAGGCCCAGGUAUUCUCCCCCAUCUCAGCUGGCUAAAAUCAUAACAUCUACCCAUAGCGUUUCACGACAGACCUUUCAGAGAAAGUGACAGUUUCCAAACUGAUGGAUGGCGGUCCCCUGAGGAAGACACAGAGUCAUCCUUAAGCAUCCCUAGGAUGACUUUCCAGACUUCCUCUGCAGAUCUGUGGAUGGCCAAACUCCAUGAGGUAGAGGGUGUGCAUGUAACCAACACUUACCCUCUUUGACCUGUAACUCGCCUCCAGAUUAAACGCUAUGCAAAUAGGUAUUAGUGUAUUAAAGGAUUAACAAGAAGAGAAGGUCCCUGCGUGCUCAGUGCACAUGCAGGGUUUUCCGAGCAUCUUCACCUGAUGUUGGUUAGCUCCACAGAUGCAGAGCUGGAAGUGGAAGGCUGACUAUAAACUUCAUGAUGAGAAGUAUAUAUCUCAAGAUGAGAUAAAGCAAGGAAGCCAACGGAGUGCAGCAGAGGAGGGAUCCACUAAGACUGGCCUCAGAAGCUGAAUGGAGCUGUCACUAGGAGGCCGAGAGAGGGAAAGUUCGAGAGAGACGCUUGCACUAUUCCCUAGUCCCUGUACAAAACGAAGUCAUGAAAAAUUGUCAAGGUGGUAGAAAAUAAAAAGCUAUGUCUUG